UGGGGAAUUUUGGACAAUGGGGGAAACCCUGAUCCAGCCAUCCCGCGUGUGCGAUGAAGGCCUUCGGGUUGUAAAGCACUUUUGGCAGGAAAGAAACGUCAUGGGUUAAUACCCCGUGAAACUGACGGUACCUGCAGAAUAAGCACCGGCUAACUACGUGCCAGCAGCCGCGGUAAUACGUAGGGUGCAAGCGUUAAUCGGAAUUACUGGGCGUAAAGCGUGCGCAGGCGGUUCGGAAAGAAAGAUGUGAAAUCCCAGAGCUCAACUUUGGAACUGCAUUUUUAACUACCGGGCUAGAGUGUGUCGGAGGGAGGUGGAAUUCCGCGUGUAGCAGUGAAAUGCGUAGAUAUGAGGAGGAACGCCGAUGGCGAAGGCAGCCUCCUGGGAUAACACUGACGCUCAUGCACGAAAGCGUGGGGAGCAAACAGA
Molecule: ribosomal RNA, 429 nt
Filed under: Acidobacteriota bacterium
Lineage: Bacteria; Pseudomonadati; Acidobacteriota
Description: Acidobacteria bacterium partial 16S ribosomal RNA
Rfam family: Bacterial small subunit ribosomal RNA
Source: RNAcentral